RNAcentral lists this ribosomal RNA (345 nucleotides) under uncultured bacterium. RNAcentral describes it as "bacterial SSU rRNA". It matches the Rfam family "Bacterial small subunit ribosomal RNA", at positions 29 to 399 of the family's 1533-position model. The record is from RNAcentral.
AACGAACGCUGGCGGCAGGCUUAACACAUGCAAGUCGAACGGGCGUAGCAAUACGUCAGUGGCAGACGGGUGAGUAACACGUGGGAACCUUCCUAGGGGUACGGAACAACUCAGGGAAACUUGAGCUAAUACCGUAUACGUCCGUGAGGAGAAAGAUUUAUCGCCCUUAGACGGGCCCGCGUCGGAUUAGCUAGUUGGUGGGUAACGGCCUACCAAAGGCGACGAUCCGUAGCUGAUCUGAGAGGAUGAUCAGCCACACUGGGACUGAGACACGGCCCAGACUCCUACGGGAGGCAGCAGUGGGGAAUCUUGGACAAUGGGCGCAAGCCUGAUCCAGCCAUGCCG